CCCCGCCUGGGGAGUACGGCCGCAAGGCUAAAACUCAAAGGAAUUGACGGGGGCCCGCACAAGCGGCGGAGCAUGCGGAUUAAUUCGAUGCAACGCGAAGAACCUUACCAAGGCUUGACAUAUACGAGAACACUGUAGAGAUACAGGACUCUUUGGACACUCGUAAACAGGUGGUGCAUGGUUGUCGUCAGCUCGUGUCGUGAGAUGUUCGGUUAAGUCCGGCAACGAGCGCAACCCUCGUCCUAUGUUGCCAGCACGUAAUGGUGGGAACUCAUGGGAUACUGCCGUGGUCAACACGGAGGAAGGUGGGGAUGACGUCAAAUCAUCAUGCCCCUUAUGUCUUGGGCUUCACGCAUGCUACAAUGGCCGAUACAAAGGGCUGCGAUACCGCGAGGUGGAGCGAAUCCCAAAAAGUCGGUCUCAGUUCGGAUUGGGGUCUGCAACUCGACCCCAUGAAGUCGGAGUCGCUAGUAAUCGCAGAUCAGCAACGCUGCGGUGAAUACGUUCCCGGGCCUUGUACA
This 521-nucleotide ribosomal RNA is filed under the name Leucobacter sp. RNAcentral's name for it is "bacterial SSU rRNA". It matches the Rfam family "Bacterial small subunit ribosomal RNA", at positions 867 to 1387 of the family's 1533-position model. The record is from RNAcentral. Lineage: Bacteria; Bacillati; Actinomycetota; Actinomycetes; Micrococcales; Microbacteriaceae.